Molecule: long non-coding RNA, 4340 nt
Organism: Brassica napus (rape)
Lineage: Eukaryota; Viridiplantae; Streptophyta; Magnoliopsida; Brassicales; Brassicaceae
Exons: 10
Source: RefSeq, a predicted model, not a curated record
UAAUAGAACGUGUGUAUUAUCCCUUAUAAUUAUCUUUAUAUAUAAAGUAAGGUUUACUCUCUCCUUAGGCCAUCCACGUCUCUUGCCCCUACGUUUGACACGUGUCCCAUCAGAGUGAAACGCAUCGUAUCAUUUAUUCAGAGAUAUUCUGGAUUUUAAUCGUUGCCCAAUGCGGCCCAAAUAAACAGAGUUUGUCCCUAACCCUAAUUCUAAUGACGCAAGUUCGUCUCUUCUCCUCUUCUUCAAUGUGCCGACACGGUAAACCGACCAUGGAGUUUGUUGGAAGUGAUGGGAGACGAGUUUUUACGGCUGAUCUAUGUGGCGUUAAUCUGUUCAUAUCCUUUAGAAUGGAUUUGACUUCAACUCGUCGCUGUAGCACCACCGCCGUCUGCUCAGAUUUUGGGAGGCCAAGAAUGUGAAUAGAAGCGGCGAGCUUAUGGAGGUCGAAACGCUUCUUCUUGACGCUCAGCUUAAAAGAGAAGCAUCGAAUAUUAUCAUAAGAGUGGUAGUUCGUAAAAUUUUGCUGUCACGAAAGAUGAAGAACAUAGAGUUCUGACAUGUAAGACGCCACACAGAAACUAUUACUUUGUUUAGAUCCCUGAGGAAGCUAGAGAGCUUGAAAAGCAACUCAGAGAGACCACUAAGGAGAAGAAUGAAGCUGUAUGAGAGUUCGACUUUGGGAAGGUGUAUCAGAUAUUGUGGUUGAAACAUUUGAUAUUGUGCAGGCACAUUCACAAGCCGUGGAUUCAGCAAGGUCCAAAUGGCUGUACAAGAUAUACGCGAGAGCGCAUCCACCAGAACAACCACCCUACACAGCAUGAGAUGUCAACGAUGCAAGAUUCAACUUCUUCCAUUAAAGCCGAGAGAACUUCACAUGGUGAAAACAGAAUCGAACUAUCACCAGGACACUUCAGCGGUUGAGAGUGGGAAGAAGACGAUGCAAGAAGUCCUCUUGAAUUGCUUGGAGAAGGCAGAGAGUGCCCAUCAAUGGAGGAAAGCUCAAGAAUCACUGGUCAGUCUAGAACGGAACAAUGUAGCUUCUGUUGACUCAAUCGUUAGGAAUGGACGCCAAUGAGAACCUACGCUCUCAGUUCUAUCAUCAUCUCUUGAUGUUUUUAAUCUGCUAACGCCAGCCUUCUUACUUCCAUUGACAAUCCGUUGAAACUCAAUAAUGAUGCAUGCGCUAAGAUCAACUCCAUGAUCAUCCCGUGCUACGAAGACUUGAUUGAGCUCAAGAGUGAUCACAAUCACAAGAUCGUAGAGAUCACAGACAACACAGGGAAAUGUCUUCUUGAUGAAUAUAUAGUAGAUGAACCUUCGUGUUCAACGGCUGAGGAAAAGAGCAAUCGAGAUACUGAGUAUUGAGUCCAUUGAGGAAUUUCGAGCUCCAGCAUCUGAGGAGUUACUGAGAGCGUUUCAAGAUGGGAAACUGUUUAAACAGGCAAAUGGUGAUGCAAAGCAGCAGCAACAACACCUUAUACGUGCUUCCUCUCUUUAUGAAGCAGCUGUGUCGGACUCGAGAUCUCCCCUCUCUGCUGUAAACUGACACGCCAAGAGGAUUGGUUUUACAGAAGCACAAGAGAAGAAGGUUAUUAUUGUUGCACUACAGGUAAAAAAGUAUCUUAUUUUCUUCAUGGAGGUUUGGUUUGAGGAAUUUAUAAAAGCAUACAUUUUUCAUUAUAUUUUUAUUUGUUUAUUAGCUGGAACCAAAGCAAAAUUAUUUCUGAAUCAGUAAGAUUAUGAGUCGUGUCAAUUAUAAUUACAAGCAAGUCCGUUAGGUUUUAUUUUUGUCAUCAGACUCCUCAGUCCUCAAGACAAUAAUUGAACAGAAAAAAAUAAGUGCUCAAGAGAGAAUCAAUGGCUAUAUCGGUAUUCUGAAUUACUCUGAGUGGAACUUUAUACUGAUGACUUUGGGGUCAUGCAAUUUCUUUCAACCGAUUGCCAGCUAUCUUUCUUUUUACAUUCACAAGUAUACCUCGCCUAUUAAAUAUUAAUAUAUUUAAAAAGACAAAUUUUGUUCACAGACACAUAUGGUUCAAGAAACUGAUAGUAUUAAGUAAACUGAACAUUUGGGUGUUGGUAACUUAUAUUAGUUUAUUAAAAUAUGGUCGUUACAAUGCCAUUAAAAAAUAUCUAUUUUGAUAUAUCUUUUAUAAGAAACUAAUAUCGUUAAAAUAUACAGUUAUUUUCAUAAAGACAACAAAAAUAUUACUCUCAUAAAAAUAUAAACAUGGUAACUCUAUCAUAGAUAACAAACCCAUUUCAAUUAAAAAAAAAACAGUAUACCAAAACGUCCAAACAUUUCAAGAAGGUGACAAUAUUUACCUCAGCUAUCUAAGUACACUAAUACAUCAAAAUAUAACACAAAAAAUACGUUCCUUCUAUUCAAAUCACCAUGAAAACUGAACUACUUUACAAGUUAUCCUUUGGCUUAGAAACCGAACAUUCAGCUUCACCUUCACAAAGGGAUCUAACCAUCAAUAUAAACAGAUUUAAUACAAAUCAAAGAGAUAUAUCCAUUAAUAUCAACUGCUCUACAACUGCUUUUGGUUAUAUAACCCAACAAAAGACUUUAUUUAAUCUUUUUCCGAUGACAAAAGAAACAUAGUAAUUGAUGAUGAUGAUGGUAUGGAGAGAAGAUAGCUCUAUCUACCAAAUGACUUCUAACGGAUUUUUAGAGCCUUUAUUGCUAAUUCCUCUUAACAGUCCGGUUGAGAAGGAGUCACUGCAUUGGGAAGGUUAUGGACUGAUCUUUUGAAGCAACUGACUUUUCCAUGAUGUCAAAACAUGUUCUCAUAAAUCACACGGCCUCCACAUAGUUCUUGCACUUGAAUAAGAUGUUGCAAGAUGUAUAAGAUGUGUAGCUAUGCUUGAUAGUUUUUGAGAUGUUGGUAAAAAAUGAACAAAAACACUACUAUCAUAUUCAUAAUUAACCAUAUACUUAAAACCUAAUAACAACAAAACAAAUUACAAAUAUCCAUAACACAAAUAUAGACAUCCCGCCCGUAGGGCGGGCCGGCCCUAGUACUAUUAUAAACACAUGAAAAAUAAGCAAUAAGUUUUAUUCAAAGCUUAAUUACUGGGAGAUCUUUCUGUACAAGAUAUGUUGGGUCAUAUACGUAUAUAGAAUGUCAAUCCUACCAUUAGAAAACUACUUUUCCCUACCGAUCCGUAUUUACGGGCUUUAAUAUCUAGAUUUCUAGAAUAUCCCACACACGUACAUAUCUAGUAUGAGUAAUUCUUGUGUCCACCCCUUAGAGUGAACCUAUAGGUUCACCUAGCCAAUAAUAACUUGCCACAUCAUAUUUAGUUUUUGGAAGAAAAGAAAGGUAAAAAACAUAAAUGGAAUUAUCUACAAAAUUAAAAAGAGAAAUAUAAUUUAAAAAAAAAAGGAAAACAGAAAAAGACGUGAAGUUGUUUAAAGCCGUGGAAUACAAUGUUUCUUCUUCGUUGGUUGAAGAAAAAAUAGAACACAGAGAAGAGAUGAAGCUGUGUUUGUGAUUUUCUGAGUCUUUAAUUCCUUGCUUUCAAAUCCAAUCUCGAAUUCACCUCCGAUCAAUAAAGUUUGAGAAAGAAUGGAGAAUAAUCAAUUAAGUGGUCAGGAAACUAUUCUUGGUGGUCAGUAUGGAUCUACUUUACAAGUUGUCUCAGGUGAUUCCACUUUGAUAUAUCAAAAGUUGGUUGAAGAGUUCAAGAAUAUAAUAGUGUGCGAAGCAACGGUCAUAUCAGAGAAGGAGACAGGAACCAGGAGUAAAUCAGUGAAGAACAUGAAGCUGAGGAAAGCUAACCAGGACAUAGGUGCAGUCAAAACGCCAUAUCUUACAAACCAGGAGAAAUUUAUCAAUGAAACCGGUUUUCCUGGAUUCUACACUCAACAAGAGCACACGGCGAAUUGGUUCCAUACGAAAAGUAGUAAUGGUUUGGGAGAUAUGCCAUUUACAAGUCAGACUAUCUACACUGCAUCCGAACUGGUUCUAUUUAAGAAAAGUACUAAUGGUUUUAUAGUUGAUUAGAUCAAUUAGAAGAACCACCCCUCUUGUUGGAUCGUCCAUCACUUUGAUCCAAGGAUCUUGUGAGCCUUUUACAGCUUAGGCUUACAUCAAGUCCUCACUUUGGAUUUUCUUGGUGGCUGUAAUUUGGCAGUGUUGGAAAGUCCACGCUCUUGAUGAUGUUAACUGGAACACUCUGAAGCAGCCUCAUAUGAAUUCACAACGCUUACAGCUAUUGCUCCCUCUCAGUUGUGCUUCUUCUUUUCUGUUUGGUGUCUUCUUUGAUCACCAACUUCUGAUGUUUGGUUCCCUUGACCUGAAUCUUAGCUUAUCUGUUUUUUUUUUUUGUCA